AGAUAUAUGCACUCUAUCCAGAAACUCCACGUAAGGAACUUCUGAUAGGAAGAGAGUGGCUGGAAUGUAGCUCAAUUGCGAUAGCAGCUUCUCAACUCUCUGCAUGACCACUCAGAGUUUAGAAAUGACCUUAUAUGUUUCUUUCUCUUCGGAGUUGAAGUACAUGGCCAUUUCUAAACAAUACAGAGUUGUAUUGUCUGCGAUGAAUUGGCUGGCUUGAACUGGAUCUUUGGGAUCAAAGGAAGAUCUCCAAUUAUUGAGAAUACCAGUUCUAUUUAUUAAAACAAAGCCUUCAAUAUAAUCAAAGGAGUACUUGGAGGAUAUCAGAUGCUCCUGGUCCUUGGAGAAUAUGGCAAAGUCUGAAUACAAGGGUAUAUUACCAUUUUUGGUGCUGAUUCUAAAGAUAUCCUUGCCCUUGUGAUGAUGCCGAACUGACCGAGGCCUCCAAGUACACUGUAAAACAGGUCUGCAUUCUCCUGCUCUGAACAGAUCUUACAUGAUUGAGGGGUUGACUGAAAUGAAAGAUUCUAGUGGCCAACAGUUUUCACUGUUAAAAAGAAAUUAUAAAAGGGUCUAGACCAUCCAUGUAUUCAUAUUUGGUUUAUAUCAUUGUUGCCCUCCAUCUUCUCAAAUCCAAGUAGAAGAAGAAACAUAUAGCAUGAGCAAUUCAUAAUGUUUGAGUUAGGAGAUGCCGUUAUUCUUCUCACCAAAGAGGAAUUAAAGAGGAUCCCCACAGCCAACAACACAAGUACUAUUUAAAUUUUCUGCACUGUUACUUUGUUAUGGGAACAUAUGGACCAAGCGGAUAUGAAUGGAUUACAUAUUUUUGUCCAGAGAGAAAAAAAACCAUCUCUAAAUUAUAGAAUUCUCUUAAUAAAUUAAUCCUUCAGACUUACAUAAGUGUAAAAAUUAUUCUCUUUGCCUCAUAUUAAAUAUUCAAUUUGACGAGAAAAAAAGUCUCGUUCUUUUUA
Non-coding RNA from Benincasa hispida (wax gourd), 971 nucleotides. Lineage: Eukaryota; Viridiplantae; Streptophyta; Magnoliopsida; Cucurbitales; Cucurbitaceae. The record is from RefSeq and is a predicted model, not a curated record.